CCUCCAUCCUCCCCGCACAGGAGGGUGGAUCGAGGAACCCGGCGCUCUCUGCCCUGACUGCGCCGAGUCCUCCACACGGCCGCGGGACCGCACACCCGACGGCCGGGCAACUCCGGGCUGCGGUGCCGGACGGGUUGAGGGUCCCGUCCUGGCGC
Molecule: non-coding RNA, 155 nt
Filed under: Streptomyces sp. CB03234
Lineage: Bacteria; Bacillati; Actinomycetota; Actinomycetes; Kitasatosporales; Streptomycetaceae
Description: Streptomyces sRNA scr5239
Rfam family: Streptomyces sRNA scr5239
About the family: It inhibits agarase DagA expression by direct base pairing to the dagA coding region, and it represses translation of methionine synthase metE (SCO0985) at the 5' end of its open reading frame.
Source: Rfam by way of RNAcentral